RNAcentral lists this ribosomal RNA (466 nucleotides) under uncultured bacterium. Its description in RNAcentral is "bacterial SSU rRNA". It matches the Rfam family "Bacterial small subunit ribosomal RNA", at positions 28 to 507 of the family's 1533-position model. The record is from RNAcentral.
GAUGAACGCUAGCGGCAGGCUUAACACAUGCAAGUCGAGGGGCAGCGAGAGAGUAGCAAUACUUUUGUCGGCGACCGGCGGACGGGUGCGUAACGCGUAUGCAACCUACCUUAUACAGGGGGAUAACCUUUCGAAAGGGAGACUAAUACCGCAUAACAUUACUUUGAGGCAUCUUGAGGUAAUUAAAUCUUCGGAGGUAUAAGAUGGGCAUGCGUAGCAUUAGCUAGAUGGUGCGGUAACGGCGUACCAUGGCGACGAUGCUUAGGGGUCUGAGAGGAAGGUCCCCCACACUGGUACUGAGAUACGGCCCAGACUCCUACGGGAGGCAGCAGUGGGGAAUAUUGGGCAAUGGGCGAAAGCCUGACCCAGCAACGCCGCGUGAAGGAGAAGGCCCUCGGGUUGUAAACUUCUUUACCAGGGACGAAUAAUGACGGUACCUGGAGAAAAAGCAACGGCUAACUACGUG